AGCAUUAUACCGCGAAACUGCGAAUGGCUCAUUAAAUCAGUUAUCGUUUAUUUGAUAGUACCUUACUACUUGGAUAACCGUGGUAAUUCUAGAGCUAAUACAUGCUAAAAGCCCCAACUCACGGCGGGGUGUAUUUAUUAGAUUAAAAACCAAUGCCCUUCUGGGCUCACUGGUGAUUCAUAAUAACUUCUCGGAUUGCACGGCCUUGUGGCGGCGAUGGUUCAUUCAAAUUUCUGCCCUAUCAACUUUCGAUGGCUGGGCUUUGGCCAGCCUUGGUGACAACGGGAAACGGAGGGUUAGGCUCCGACCCCGGAGGGGGAAGCCUGAAAAAACGGCUACCACAUCCAAGGAAGGCAGCAGGCGCCGCAAAUAACCCCAAUCCCGGACUCGGGGGAGGUAGGGGACAAUAAAUAAUGGAAUGCAAGGGUCUCUUUGUGGGUCUUGUCGAAUUUGGGAAUUAGGUUACAAUUAAAACUCCCCUAACCGAGGAAACAAAUUGGGAGGGACAAGUCUCUGGUGGCCAGCCAGCCCCGCGGUUAAUUCCAGUCUCCAAUUAGCGGAUAUAUUAAAAGUUUGUUUGAAGGUUAAAAAGCUCCGUAGUUUGACCCUUUGGGGCCCGGCUGGCCGGUCCCGCUCUCACCGGGUGCACUGGGUCCGGGCCGGGUUUUUUCUCUCUGGGGAGCCGCAUGCCCUUUUACUGGGCGUGCCGGGGGAACCAAGAACUUUUUACCGUGAAUAAAUUGGAAUCGCUUAAAGAAGGCCUAUGCUCGAACAGUGCAGCAUGGAAUAAUGAAGUAGGACGUUGUGAUCUAUUUUUGUUGUUUCUAGGACGCGUAAUGAUAUAGGACAGUCGGGGCGUCCGUAUCAAUGUCAGAGUGAAUUCUUGAUUUAUUGAAGAACGAACUACUGGCGAAAGCAUUCG
This 922-nucleotide ribosomal RNA is filed under the name Telimena bicincta. Its description in RNAcentral is "bacterial SSU rRNA". It matches the Rfam family "Eukaryotic small subunit ribosomal RNA", at positions 68 to 957 of the family's 1831-position model. Lineage: Eukaryota; Fungi; Ascomycota; Sordariomycetes; Phyllachorales; Telimenaceae. The record is from RNAcentral.